This 388-nucleotide ribosomal RNA is filed under the name uncultured bacterium. RNAcentral's name for it is "bacterial SSU rRNA". It matches the Rfam family "Bacterial small subunit ribosomal RNA", at positions 28 to 417 of the family's 1533-position model. The record is from RNAcentral.
GACGAACGCUGGCGGCGUGCUUAACACAUGCAAGUCGAGCGGUAAGGCCCUUUCGGGGGUACACGAGCGGCGAACGGGUGAGUAACACGUGGGUGACCUGCCCUCAGCUCUGGGAUAAGCCUGGGAAACCGGGUCUAAUACUGGAUAUGACUCCAUGACGCAUGUUGUGGGGUGGAAAGCCUUGUGCGGCUGAGGAUGGGCCCGCGGCCUAUCAGCUUGUUGGUGGGGUGANGGCCUACCAAGGCGACGACGGGUAGCCGGCCUGAGAGGGCGACCGGCCACACUGGGACUGAGACACGGCCCAGACUCCUACGGGAGGCAGCAGUGGGGAAUCUUGGACAAUGGGCGCAAGCCUGAUCCAGCCAUGCCGCGUGUGUGAAGAAGGCCU